UCCCGCUUCUGGCGGGCAGUUGCGUAUGACACGUAAAACAUACGCCGAGGGUUGCGCUCGUUGCGGGACUUAACCCAACAUCUCACGACACGAGCUGACGACAGCCAUGCAGCACCUGUGCUGCCUCCCUUGCGGGUCGGUUAGGUUUCCCUUCCCUACCAGCAGCAUGUCAAACCCAGGUAAGGUUCUUCGCGUCGCAUCGAAUUAAACCACACGCUCCGCUGCUUGUGCGGGUCCCCGUCAAUUCCUUUGAGUUUUAGCCUUGCGGCCGUACUCCCCAGGCGGUGUGCUUAUCGCGUUGGCUGAGGCGCGCACGGUUUUACCCGCACACACCGAGCACACAUCGUUUACGGCGUGGACUAC
This 363-nucleotide unclassified non-coding RNA is filed under the name uncultured Anaerolineae bacterium. RNAcentral's name for it is "contains 16S-23S intergenic spacer region". Lineage: Bacteria; Bacillati; Chloroflexota; Anaerolineae. The record is from RNAcentral.